GAAAUAUCAACAUGGAUGAAGGUCUUAAAUAUAUUCUUUGAAGCUCAUCUUUUUCGAGGACAUAUGAAAUAGAGUUAGCUUUCUAAUGGAGGUAGUUUCAAGUAAUUUGGAGCUGUAUUGAAGAAGUUAUAACCGAUUUACUGGAAUCAUAUCAAUCAUACUGCAAAGAUAGGAUGGACCGCGGUGGAGGCCACGGAUUGAAGCCGUCCGCGGAUUUGGGCCAGUGAGGUCGAUUAAAG
Molecule: long non-coding RNA, 239 nt
Filed under: Brassica rapa (field mustard)
Lineage: Eukaryota; Viridiplantae; Streptophyta; Magnoliopsida; Brassicales; Brassicaceae
Description: long non-coding RNA (BRAP_LNC006998)
Source: RNAcentral